AACGAACGCUGGCGGCGUGCCUAACACAUGCAAGUCGUACGAGAAACACAUCCUUCGGGGUGUGGAGUAAAGUGGCGGACGGGUGAGUAACACGUGGGUAACCUGCCCUUGGGACUGGGAUAACUGGCCGAAAGGCCCGCUAAUACCGGAUAAGACCACAUAAGUUUCGACGCAAGCGGUCAAAGUCGGCCUCUCAACGAAGCCGGCGCCUAAGGGAUGGGGCCCCGCGGACCAUUAGGCUUGUUGGUAGGUAACGGCCUACCAAGGCUGAGAUGGUUAGCUGGUCUGAGAGGAUGAUCAGCCACACUGGAACUGAGACACGGUCCAGACUCCUACGGGAGGCAG
This 345-nucleotide ribosomal RNA is filed under the name uncultured Pseudomonadota bacterium. Its description in RNAcentral is "bacterial SSU rRNA". It matches the Rfam family "Bacterial small subunit ribosomal RNA", at positions 29 to 351 of the family's 1533-position model. The record is from RNAcentral. Lineage: Bacteria; Pseudomonadati; Pseudomonadota.